GGGUCGGUCGUCUAGCCCGGUUUAGGACGUCGCCCUUACACGGCGAAAGUCCCAGGUUCGAAUCCUGGCCGGCCCA
This 76-nucleotide transfer RNA is filed under the name Nitrososphaerota archaeon. RNAcentral's name for it is "tRNA-Val". It matches the Rfam family "tRNA". From Rfam's summary of the family: Transfer RNA (tRNA) molecules are approximately 80 nucleotides in length. Their secondary structure includes four short double-helical elements and three loops (D, anti-codon, and T loops). The record is from RNAcentral. Lineage: Archaea; Thermoproteati; Nitrososphaerota.